Molecule: ribosomal RNA, 586 nt
Filed under: Vermamoeba vermiformis
Lineage: Eukaryota; Tubulinea; Echinamoebida; Vermamoebidae
Description: SSU rRNA
Rfam family: Eukaryotic small subunit ribosomal RNA
Source: RNAcentral
UUGCAGUUAAAAGCUCGUAGUUGGAUUUCGGAAGGUCCUUAGUAAUCCGCCCCUUCGGGGAGCGGGUUACUGGCCUCCUAUGUUCCUAACGGUCCUCAUCCGCGAGGGUGGGGAAUCAACCGCUAGGAUCGUUUACUUUGAGGAAAUUAGAGUGUUCAAAGCAGGCGUAACUCGCCUCCGAAUACGUUAGCAUGGGAUAAUGGAAUACGACUUCGGUCUUGUUUCGUUGGUUUCGCUUGGCUGAAGUAAUGAUUGAUAGGGACAGUUGGGGGCAUUAGUAUUUAGUUGUCAGAGGUGAAAUUCUAGGAUUUACUAAAGACUGACCAAUGCGAAAGCAUUUGCCAAGGAUGUUUUCAUUAAUCAAGAACGAAAGUAGGGGGAUCGAAGACGAUCAGAUACCGUCGUAGUCUCUACCGUAAACUAUGCCGACCAGGGAUCCGGAGAGUUUGCAUGGAUGACUCCCCGGGCACCUUGUGAGAAAUCAUAAGUGUUUGGGUUUUGGGGGGAGUAUGGUCGCAAGGCUGAAACUUAAAGGAAUUGACGGAAGGGCACCACCAGGAGUGGAACCUGCGGCUUAAUUUGACUC